ACUCCUACGGGAGGCAGCAGUGGGGAAUUUUGGACAAUGGGGGAAACCCUGAUCCAGCCAUCCCGCGUGUGCGAUGAAGGCCUUCGGGUUGUAAAGCACUUUUGUCAGGAAAGAAACGUCGUGGGUUAAUACCCCGCGAAACUGACGGUAC
This 151-nucleotide ribosomal RNA is filed under the name Achromobacter xylosoxidans. RNAcentral's name for it is "partial 16S ribosomal RNA". It matches the Rfam family "Bacterial small subunit ribosomal RNA", at positions 335 to 478 of the family's 1533-position model. Lineage: Bacteria; Pseudomonadati; Pseudomonadota; Betaproteobacteria; Burkholderiales; Alcaligenaceae. The record is from RNAcentral.